CGUCGAGAGGACGAAGCUGAGGUGGACAUUCACAAUCAAAGGCUUUCAGGCCGUGUGGUUUUGCACUGCUAUGCGCAGCCUUCUGUUCUACGCUUUCUCAGAACACGACUUAUUUGAACCGGAAUCACACGAUAAGCCUGCUGCACGGAUGGGAAAUUCCGGAUGAUACAAGGCGUUGAGUCCUAAAUCACCGAUCGUGGUGGUUUCUCUCGGAUUGAGAGAGAAUCUGUGUGGUACGGGUUGCUGCACAGAGGGGCAUCUGGUAAAAUUGGAUUUUGUACGUGAGCCAGAAAAUAAAAUGGCAAGGCAGGAGGCAGAGAAGCUUACCGAGGCAGCGUCUGGAGGGGAGGAGGAUGAAGGUGACGGAUCUGGGAAAGAAAAUCGACGGCGACGCAGUGAGGGCGAGGACGCUCUGCGACGACGGGCUUGAGGGGCUGGCGGAGAUCCUAGACGGAUUUGGGCGUGGGAUUUGGUGGAGGAACCGAAGGGUUGAAACGGUGGCCAAUCGGCUUGGUGGUGUAGGUCACCGUGCGACAGCCGUGCUUGGGUCUUCAGCGCAAGAGAGAGAGAAAUCGUAAGAGGGAGAGAGAGAAAAACAGAGGAGAGACAUACGAACUGACCGGCGAGAGGCGGCGCGGCCAAGGCUGGAAUGGCGUGGCGGCGGACAAAAUCACAGAGAGAAAAAAAAAACAAAGAAGGUUAGAGAGAGGAGGGAGAGCGCGAGCGAGGGAGAGAGAUUGAGAGGCAGUGUAGCUUACCGGUGAUGGGGCGUUGCGAUAGUCGUGCACGGCGCGGUGGAGCAAAAGAAAACAAAAGGGCAAACGCCGACGGGGAGAGAGGA
Long non-coding RNA from Juglans microcarpa x Juglans regia, 841 nucleotides. RefSeq lists it as uncharacterized. The transcript is spliced from 2 exons. The record is from RefSeq and is a predicted model, not a curated record. NCBI's taxonomy places the organism in Eukaryota, Viridiplantae, Streptophyta, Magnoliopsida, Fagales, Juglandaceae.